UACGGAGGGUGCAAGCGUUAUCCGGAUUCACUGGGUUUAAAGGGCGCGUAGGUGGGUUUGUAAGUCAGUGGUGAAAUCUCCGUGCUUAACAUGGAAACUGCCAUUGAUACUAUAGGUCUUGAAUUAUCUGGAGGUUAGCGGAAUAUGUCAUGUAGCGGUGAAAUACUUAGAUAUGACAUAGAACACCAAUUGCGAAGGCAGCUGGCUACAGGUAUAUUGACACUGAGGCUCGAAAGCGUGGGGAUCAAACAGG
Molecule: ribosomal RNA, 253 nt
Filed under: uncultured bacterium
Lineage: Bacteria
Description: partial 16S ribosomal RNA
Rfam family: Bacterial small subunit ribosomal RNA
Source: RNAcentral